This 843-nucleotide ribosomal RNA is filed under the name Triticum aestivum (bread wheat). Its description in RNAcentral is "partial small subunit ribosomal RNA". Lineage: Eukaryota; Viridiplantae; Streptophyta; Magnoliopsida; Poales; Poaceae. The record is from RNAcentral.
AUGUCUUCUCACAGGGAAGAAGUGGAGGAACUGCUCUGUAGGUUGGACCUCCAUGAGGAUGACGGAGAUGAGUUCGUGUGGGAGGACGAGGAGGAUCUCCCCAAGGUGCAGGCGAAGUGGCUAGCUAUUGCUAGGGUUCAUACCUCAAAAAGCAUCAGUCCAUCCGCCCUGUAUGCAGACAUGCGGUCUGCGUGGAAUCCGGCGAGGGACGUGCGGUGGCGCCUAAGUGAUACGAAUCUCUUCACGGUACAGUUUGGAUGCCUCGCUGAUUGGAACACGGCGAUGACGAACGGGCCUUGGCUAUUCAGAAAUCAAGCGGUGAUAUUCAAGGAGUAUGAUGGUUACACAAACCCUAGAUCGGUGGUCCUUCAUAGAGUUGCUGUUUGGGCACGAAUCCUUGGUUUGCCGGACAAUUAUCUUAGCGAGCCAGUAAUUAAGGGUAUGUACAGGAAGUUGGGGACGAUAAUGGAGGUUCAGAUUCAGCUACCGGCUGGCUAUGUUGGUGCUUUCGUGAGGGUUAAGGCUAAUCUGGAUGUGAACAAAAAAUUAGAACGCUUUGUGUCAAUAACACGAGGAGGCAAGAAAGACUGGUACAUGGUAAAGUAUGAGAAGAUGCCUAUUUUCUGUAAUCACUGUGGCUUACUUGGGCAUUGGGAUGAAGAGUGCGGCACCGGCGAACAUGAUAUGAGCAAGUUUGAAUGGGGUGACUUUAUUUUAGCAGAUGAGUGGAAAAAUAGAGGGGGUGGAAGAGGUACUGGUAGAGGAGCCGGUAGGGGACGUGGUGGAUCUUCCUUUGGGCGAGGUGCGGGUAGAGGGGAGCAAAGGAGCCAUGAUAUUGUUUAA